GAUGAACGCUGGCGGCGUGCCUAAUACAUGCAAGUCGAGCGAACAGACGAGGAGCUUGCUCCUCUGACGUUAGCGGCGGACGGGUGAGUAACACGUGGAUAACCUACCUAUAAGACUGGGAUAACUUCGGGAAACCGGAGCUAAUACCGGAUAAUAUCUUGAACCGCAUGGUUCAAUAGUGAAAGACGGUUUUGCUGUCACUUCUCGAUGGAUCCCCGCCGCAUUAGCUAGUUGGUAAGGUAACGGCUUACCAAGGCAACGAUGCGUAGCCGACCUGAUAGGGUGAUCGGCCACGCUGGAACUGAGACACGGUCCAGACUCCUACGGGAGGCAGCUGUAGGGAAUCUUCCGCAAUGGGCGAAAGCCUGACGGAGCAACGCCGCGUGAGUGAUGAAGGUCUUCGGAUCGUAAAACUCUGUUAUUAGGGAAGAACAAAUGUGUAAGUAACUAUGCACGUCUUGACGGUACCUAAUCAGAAAGCCACGGCUAACUACGUG
This 497-nucleotide ribosomal RNA is filed under the name uncultured bacterium. RNAcentral describes it as "partial 16S ribosomal RNA". It matches the Rfam family "Bacterial small subunit ribosomal RNA", at positions 28 to 507 of the family's 1533-position model. The record is from RNAcentral.